This 72-nucleotide transfer RNA is filed under the name Nitrospirota bacterium. RNAcentral describes it as "Nitrospirae bacterium (sediment metagenome) tRNA-Gly". It matches the Rfam family "tRNA". From Rfam's summary of the family: Transfer RNA (tRNA) molecules are approximately 80 nucleotides in length. The record is from RNAcentral. RNAcentral also lists the same sequence under 2 other names. Lineage: Bacteria; Pseudomonadati; Nitrospirota.
GCGGGAGUAGCUCAGUGGUAGAGCGUCAGCCUUCCAAGCUGAGGGCCGCGGGUUCGAAUCCCGUUUCCCGCU